AAGACCCUCUCUCCUCCCACAGGGGGAGCCCACAUGAAUUGGGGAGCCUGCUGCAGGAGGAACCUUUCUUUCCCUCUCCUCUGGUUCCCACAGGGGCUCAUAAAGAGGAACCCUCCUCCUUCCUGGAAAUGUUGAGUGUUCCUGACCUUCUCUCUACCCAUCGCUGUACCCAGGGAGGGAAGAGUGACUUGGGAACCAGAUAGGGACAUGGAGCUAUUCCGGAAGCGGCUGUCAGUGUAUGGAUCAUACUGCCCAUCAGCAUUGGAGAGGCUGUGAGUCCUCAGCAUGGUCGGGUUGGACAAGCUCAUCUGGGUGACAGUGGUGGGACUCGCUGGAAUAAAAGGAAUAGAAUCAAAAGGGUGUCUUUCUGAGAAAGGCAGCCAGAGGCACAGCACCAACCUUUCUGACAGUGUGGUCUUCACACUGUUAGUUCUGACAAAGGGAGUCAAGGAGUCGUCCUUGGAGGAGGCGAUGAGGCCAGUGGAAGAAUUGUGGCUGGGGACCCCUCCACUGCUGAGGGAGAUGUCGAUGGACUCACAGCUGGUGUGGAGGCUGCUGACAGACUGAAAGCCCAGGCCAUCCUUGCUAACUGCGGAGGAGCUGCUGGCGUUGGUGCCCCAGGGCCAAGACAGCCCCGGCCUCUUACCAGUUCCUGGGGUCUUCAGUGCGCCUGCCGGGGCUGAAGGCUUCGUCCUUGGCAUGGUGAUGCCCACCUGAGCUGUCAUGCCUCGCCGCCAUGAGCCUGUCUGGGAGAUGACAGGAUUCUUCUUGCCCGACGUGCUUUUGUCGGACUCGUCAGACACAUCAGAAGGAUUCCGCCUCCACUUGGAACCUGGCUCCAUUUUUAUGCCGCUGUCUGAGCCUCCGUCUGAUUUCUUGACAUCAUCACCAGACCACAGGGAAUUCCUCUCCACCUGUGAGUGCUUCUCAGCAUCAGUCUGUGGACAGAGACUCUCUGAAUUAGUCCUUCCCCAGUCCCAGGCUGGGAAGCCCCUCACUCCAAAGGCAAAAAUGCCAAAACACUGGAGUAGUUAAGGGAAAAAUAAGCAUUACUUUAAAGAUGUUUGGACUUUUGUACUCUGGUUAUCUUGUUAGAAAGACUGAUUUUUUUUUUUUGGAAAAAAAAAUAAAAAAGUAAAUAAUAUCAAUGUAUCCCUGGAAUGGAAUGGAACGAGAUGGCUGGGCACAGUGGCUCACGCCUAUAAUCCUAAUAUUUUAGGAGGCUGAGGCGGGAGGAUCACUUGAUCCCACAAGUUUAAGACCAGCCUGGGCAUCAUGGCAAAACCCCAUCUCUACAAAAAAUAGAAAAAUUAGCUGAGUGUGGUGGCACACGCCUAUAGUUCUACCCACUCGGGUGGUUGAGGUGGGAGGAUCACCCCGGGGAGGUGGAGGCUGCAGUAAGCCGUGACCGCACCACUGUACUCUAGCCUGGAUGACAGGGCGAGACUGUCUCAAAAAAGAAGAAAAGAAAAGCAAAAGAAAGGAGUGAGGGAAGAGAGGAAAAGGGGCCCAGGAAAAAAGAAGGAAAGAGCCCUAGCGAGGGGAAGGGGCAGAGCAGAUGGAGAUGCAGUGGGAAUUCAGCCACCACCUAUUUUCUGCCACUUGAACAAGCCUCCUCCAACUCUGGCGGCUGAUCUCUAACCAGCAUCCAGUCUCCUGGCCCGUUUCCCUUUGUUCUGCCUUCUUCCCAUCACUGCACCGCAGAGAGAUCUUUGGAUCUAACACACCAAGCAAGGGAGCAAGGGUGGCUGCUGGUUCUACGCAAAUCAGGGAGAGCCAGGAGCUGAGGGGAAGCGCAUCCUCAAAUGCUACUUCCCCCAAAUGCGGAGAGCCAAUGAUGCCUGCUCCGACCCCAGCAUUAUUUAUAUGCCACUGCUUUGCUCCCCUUGUGGGAUUUUGUUCUGACAAGGGAUAUAAUUAGCCAGCUUUCUUUGGAAGAGCCCUGACCUGCUGGCCAUAAAACCCAGAAGGGGACCGAAGUGUGACGUUAAUGAUCUCCUGCAGCUAAAAGGCAUAAAGCUGACCAGAAUGCUUUGGAGGCCUCCUGGGGUUUGAGGCCAGUUGGAGGAUGUCAGUAGCGAGAAGCAGCACGGUAAAUGGGGAAGGGAGGUCAGGAGCGCUUUCAGGGUGGGUAUACUAAGAUACCAGUCCCAUAUUUGCAAUGCUUAACUACCGAGAGUAGGCAAGAUAGGAAAUUAAAAUGAACACCUGGCAAGAAUCUGCCUAACGCCUGUCAUCCAAGAGUGGAAGAAAUGCCUUCCUCCAUGGAAUACAAUGGCUGAAUGGGAUAAAAGCUAAAAACAGAUAGGCAGCCCAAGUUCAAUCGCCUCCCCAACACCACCCCAACCCCUUCUCCCCUUAUGAAUUCCACUCAUCCAUUACAGACACCUUAUGAGUUCUUUCAUUUGUUUUUUUCCAGCUAAGUAUUAGUCACUAGAGAUAUGAGGAGGACAAACACACACUGCCUGGCUAUGAGAAGCUCAUCAUUCAGCUGUGGCAAGGGACAGAGAGAGGGGAGUUCCUACAUGUGGGCACAGGGCAGGAGCUCACUCAAAGCUUGAUGAGCGAAUGAAUGAGCCUAGGAAGGAGCCAAGGAACACACGCUUUUCAGGCCACAACAGACAUUAGCAAAAUUAUCUUAUCCGAUCUCAGCCUCUAUUUAAUCAGAAAGGGUAAGUACACAAGUACUCAAGUACUGUUAUCUUUAUCUCAAUCUUACAGAAACUAAAGUUGCCCAUUCUUUGUCCCAACUACCUCAGGUCAGUUUCCUUCCUCUAAACACUUCCAGUACAUUCAUCCAACCAGAAUUUACUCCAUGCUUGCUGUCUGCCAGGCACCACGGAGGGUCAGAGAAUCUGGGGAUAAGACUGAUUUCCCACCCAUGGUGGAGCUUACGAUCCAGUGAAACAGGCAGAGAUAGAAUAAAUAAACACAAACAAGGGUGUAAUUGUAGACUACGAAGACUAUUAUAAGGAAAAAGACAAAAAGUCUGAGAAAUAAAUAUAGACAUUGACCUAAUUUAGAUGACAAUGAGGUGGGUAGGCGACAGUGAUCAGUUCAAAAAGAAGUACCCUAAAGAAAGAAAAGAAACUUACUUAGUAAAAGAAGAGUUUGGGGCAGAGCAUACCAGGGAGAGGGAACCACAUGUAUAAAGGUCCUGAGGCAGAAAAUAACUUGGCUUUGGAACAUUCACUUCACAAAUAUUUAUUGGGUGCCACUACGUGCCAGGAAAGCUUAUUCGCACUAGGAAUACUGCAAUGAACAAGUAUAAAUCAUUAACCUCAUGGAGCUUACAUUCAAGUACAUUUUAACAUAUUCUAAUAUGCUCUAAGAGGUACUGAAAAUUUAGCACAUGCCACAUCCUGGGUUACUGCAUUAUUUAUUCUUUUAAUGUUCCUAUACUUAUUUCCCCCCAAUCAAACUGUAAUGGUGCUAAUACUAGUAGCAUAACAACUACAAUUUAUUGAGUACUUACUACGUCCCAGGCACUAAGCUAAAGUGUUUGAUAUGUAUCAUUAAAUUUAAUCCUUAUCAAAAACCUAUGAGGAAAUUACAGUUAAUAGUCUCAAUUUUACAUGACAAAACUGAGGCAAACAGUGAAAAGAAAAUUUCCCAAGAUCACAUAGUGAGGAAGUAGAGAUGCAGGGAAUUCAGGGAGUCUAACUGCAGAGCCCACAUUUUAACCACCAUGCCACACUGCCCUCCCUAAGGAUAAGUCGAGGUAUAUGAUACAUUUGUGCAUACUCAGUAGCACCUAAUAGCUAUACCCAGCAGAUUCUCCUUCCAUACUGGCAGGCUCCCCAACCCCAGUUCUAGAGCAGCUCUAGCUUAGCCUCUAGGUGGGACCCAUACAACUCCAUUUCCAUCAGUGGCAGAGACAGCGCACAUGCCCCUGGCCUGGGAAUGUGGCUUGACUUUCUCUCUCUGGAAAGAACAAUCAUCCAGCCAUCACAUCUCCCUAGCUUGGUCCAGGGUGGUCACCUUCCCAGCUCUACUCUGAAUCCUUCAUGAGCUACAUGCCGGACUAUAAGGUGGCACCCCUUGGGAUUAAAAAACGAGAAAGUCCCAGCCUCUCUGUUCCUGGAGCUCGCAACAGCGGAACCAGCCAACAGGACAUCCACAUGGGGACGUACGAAGAGUUCUAUCCUGCCUUCCCCUCCAUGCCUCGGCCAGUUGUUUCCAUCUCAAUGGUACCUCCUUUCUGAAGGGUUUUCUUCUGCCUGUUCUUGGAAGUCUAUGUAGUCAUUCGAUAUCCACAUGGGAAGGUGAGGAAAGAAGCCACGCACAAGGGACUUCAGAAGGGAGGCCAGUCUUCUGAGAGCAAGAGGUGAGGCCUGAGGAGCAUGAUGUGGGGGAAGAGUGUGGGCUUUGGGUCUGACAGAUCUGGGUUCAAGUGUUCGGUGCUGCCACUCAUUUGCUGUGCAUGACCUUGGAAGACAUUGCCCUACUUAUCUGAACUUAUUAACUCAUGUAUAAAACAUGGAUGAUAAAUAGGUCUCUUACAGCAUUGAUGGUGAACUCAGUGAACUCAGUGUGGGGGGACUCAAUAA
This 4550-nucleotide long non-coding RNA is filed under the name Homo sapiens (human). RNAcentral's name for it is "HSALNT0172862". The record is from RNAcentral. Lineage: Eukaryota; Metazoa; Chordata; Mammalia; Primates; Hominidae.